CCUACGGUGGGCAGCAGUGGGGAAUAUUGGACAAUGGGGGGAACCCUGAUCCAGCCAUGCCGCGUGUGUGAAGAAGGCCCUCGGGUUGUAAAGCACUUUCAGUGAGGAAGAACGCCUGGUGGUUAAUACCCAUCAGGAAAGACAUCACUCACAGAAGAAGCACCGGCUAACUCCGUGCCAGCAGCCGCGGUAAUACGGAGGGUGCGAGCGUUAAUCGGAAUUACUGGGCGUAAAGCGCGCGUAGGUGGCUUGAUAAGCCGGUUGUGAAAGCCCCGGGCUCAACCUGGGAACGGCAUCCGGAACUGUCAAGCUAGAGUGCAGGAGAGGAAGGUAGAAUUCCCGGUGUAGCGGUGAAAUGCGUAGAGAUCGGGAGGAAUACCAGUGGCGAAGGCGGCCUUCUGGACUGACACUGACACUGAGGUGCGAAAGCGUGGGUAGCAAACAGGAUUAGAUACCCCUGUAGUC
RNAcentral lists this ribosomal RNA (465 nucleotides) under Vreelandella stevensii. RNAcentral's name for it is "partial 16S ribosomal RNA". It matches the Rfam family "Bacterial small subunit ribosomal RNA", at positions 338 to 795 of the family's 1533-position model. The record is from RNAcentral. Lineage: Bacteria; Pseudomonadati; Pseudomonadota; Gammaproteobacteria; Oceanospirillales; Halomonadaceae.